Molecule: unclassified non-coding RNA, 2914 nt
Filed under: Hevea brasiliensis (rubber tree)
Lineage: Eukaryota; Viridiplantae; Streptophyta; Magnoliopsida; Malpighiales; Euphorbiaceae
Source: RNAcentral
AAUCAUUUCACAUAUCAACGGCAACAGCUAAAUGUAAUUUUACUAAAUACUUAAUAUAAAAUAGCUAUCAUCAGCUAUCAGCUAACAGCAACAGCUAUCAGCUAACAACUAUAUAUUGUAUUCAAUAGUUAAUCCAAACAUGCUCUUAAUUACAAUAGUUUUAGAAAUUCUUAAACGUAUAUGAAUUAUGACAUCUGAAUCAUAACACAAAUACAGAUUCCAUAAAGGCCUUAACAAGAUCUCAUCAUCAUCAUCAUCAAUGAGAGAUUUAUUAUUGACAAAAUAUUUAUAAUUGACAAUAAUAAUAAGCUUUUCCCAAAACGACGUAACCUUGUCGCUAAUAAAUAACAAACCCACAACUUACAAACACUUUUAAUUUAACCCAGCUCUAAAGAUCGAGCCGUCGGCUAACCCUUUUUAGCCUGCGGUUCGAACCCAAAUCACACAACCCAAGUUUUACAACCUUAUUCAUCGGCGGUGGUCCAAGUCAUGUCAUUCUCGAAUAUCCAGUGGCAAACCUCGAUCCGACCCGGACCCGAACCUAAAGCCAAGAAAGCACCAUGGGUGGAGCUCCAAGAGGAAGUAUCCAGGUGACAUACGGCAACGCCGUGGUUGAUUUUCGCCUUGCUAUUCCGAUCCAAGAUGUCCGCUUCGUAAACCCGAACUUUGGGAACCGAGUGGCAGUAAUAGAGCAGGUACGGGAACAAGCUCUGGUGACAAGAUACUGACUUGGUCACUCUACCACCGUUGAUACCUUUGACCGAUCCGAUCAUGAUAUUCUUCUUUGACCCCUUCACGUUUUCAGUCGUACGAACCACCACAUUGCGGCCUAGGACGGAGGUGGCGAAGUCGAUUAAGUCCUCGGCGGAGCCAACGCAGCGCUUGGUCUCGCCGGGGCUAGGUGCUCUCUCGCACUCGUCAAGAGCGUCCAUAAUUAUGUUCUCCAUGGUUGAAUUAUCAGCAGCGUGGAAAGUUUCCUUCAAUGGAGCGAUCUUGGAGGUGGAAAAUGGUAAUUUUGAGGUGAUGGUGCGGGGCAAAAAUGACCUUUGAGGCAUUUUAUCUCUAAUGUCAGGCAUUGGCAUCACGUUACCCUUCUUGAGCUCAGACUCACGGAAAAAUUUGCCAGGCUCAAUCCACUUAUUUACCAAACUACCACUGACCUUCUUUGCAGUAGUUUCUUCAGAUGCAGUAGUGGAGCUUGUUUUGCUGUACCCAGAAAAAGAUACGCUCUUUUUAUCAGCAUACUCUUUGAAAGUGUUGUUCACUCCAUAGAUCUUGAACCCAAUCUUCGGCUUAUCUGCUCGUUCACCAUACCCAGUAAAUGUAUCAGACCCUUCAUUGAAGGAUUUCCCAUAAUUUUUGAAAUUUACAGUUCCCCCAGUUGAUUUUUUAGCAUAAGAUUGGAAGGAAUCGUCACCCACAUUGGAUUCAUCUCUGUAAUUGGUGAAGGUAUCAAAACUACCAGUUCCUUCAGCGCCGUAGUUCUUGAAAUUGUUCUCUGGAACAUUUCCAUUGAACCCAUAAGACUUGAAGGUAUCAUUAGCUCCAUUCUCAUUCUCGCCGUAAUUCGUAAAAUCUGAGCCAAUCACAUUCGAGUUCUCUGCAUAGCUCGUAAAUUCAUUAGGGCUUGCAUUCCCGUUCUUCCCAUAACUGGAGAAAGAUUCACCGCCGGAGUUUGUAUCCCCUGUAUAGCUCGAGAAUUUUUGGGCCCUGCGAUUUCCGUGAUCCGAAUAAGAUGUGAACCGAAGAUUUGGGACAUUUACUUGCUCAUUGUAUUUCUUGAAGUCGCUGGCGCCACCGCUGCUAUGGGCACCAUAGGUGUUGAAGCUUUGGUCGGGGACGUUCCCGUCAGGGCCAUAAGUGGAAAAUUUUUCGUUGUGAUCAAUGGCGCCGCGGCCGUAUCGCCGAAAAGAGUCGACGGGGAUAUUUUCUCCAUCUGAAUAGUUCUUGAACGAGUCGACUCCGUUCACCAAAUCCGAACCGUAAUUGGUAAAGUUCUUGUUGCUGUAGACAGCAAAGUUGGAGUUUCCUUCGUGCUUCUCGAGGCUGGGCGCUAAAUCGGGGAAGCAGAAGAGCUUGGCGGAGGAGCAGAAGGCGGAGAACUUAGUGGAGAGGGCAUUUUGCGAGGCGAGUUUGGUAAAAGUGGCGGCAUCCACGGCGUUCAAUGGAGAGGCCUUGGAUAGAAUGAAUGGAGAUUUUGGUAAAUUGCUGUGGAUCUCCUUGUCCCAGUACCGGAUAAGAUAUGCUUUUGGCGUAAGUGGACCGUCACCGGCCAGCAGUACCCUGGCACCGGCUGAACUCGCAUCGAGCAAGAAUGGGAAGCAGAAGAAGAUGAAGAAGAAGAAAGGGGAAAUUGGGUGAGCUUGCAUUUUCUUUACAAGCAAAGACGAGCGAGAAUGUUGGUGGGUUUGUAGGGUUGUGAAGUGAAGAAAUAUAUAAAAAGGAUUAGACAGAUGGGGAGAGAGAAAGAGAGUUUAUUUUUUUUAAUGGUGGAUUUGGCCUUGUGGUUAGUUAGUGAGCUUUGACACUUGAGGCUCCUCCUCCUCGUUUAGGCAUCACUGGUGAGUGGCACCAAGAGAAGAGUGACUCAAAGCUCUCUGUUGGAAGAGGAAUGAGGAAUGGGACUAUAUUUAUAAGCUCUAAAGAACACAGCAACUACAAAAGAGCUUCUAAAAACUUCAAGCAAUUAGCUUUUCCAUAAGUAGGCUGCAAAAUCUCAACAUAAGAAACCAGUUGUCAAAGGUAAAGAAAAGAAAUAGCAAAAUGAAUCGAAUAUCAUCGGAAGGGUACAAAAUGAGGUCUGACUCUUUAGCAAACAAGAUUUUGGAAAUUUGGGAAAAGGAUACGAGCAAUAGGAAGGGGGAGAGACCACAGCACUUGUGUUUGUGCAAUUUUCGGUAUUAUUAUUAUUAUU